RNAcentral lists this transfer RNA (69 nucleotides) under Marmota monax (woodchuck). RNAcentral describes it as "tRNA.Ala". The record is from RNAcentral. Lineage: Eukaryota; Metazoa; Chordata; Mammalia; Rodentia; Sciuridae.
GUAUGUAGCUCAGUGGCAGGGUGCUUGCCUAGCAUGUGUGAGGCACUGGGUUCAAGUCUCAGCACCACA